UAUCCAUGGUGGGGGGGGGGGGUUUGCAACUCUUUGUAUCUCUCCUAGGCUUGAUAUAAGAUUUCACUAUCCUUUUGGGAAAAUGAGGAAAUUUGCUUCUUAAUGGCA
Molecule: small nucleolar RNA, 108 nt
Filed under: Olea europaea subsp. europaea
Lineage: Eukaryota; Viridiplantae; Streptophyta; Magnoliopsida; Lamiales; Oleaceae
Description: Plant small nucleolar RNA R71
Rfam family: Plant small nucleolar RNA R71
About the family: R71 is a member of the C/D box family of snoRNAs containing the C (UGAUGA) and D (CUGA) box motifs. Multiple nearly identical copies of this snoRNA have been identified in Arabidopsis, and it is thought to function as a 2'-O-ribose methylation guide for 18S ribosomal RNA.
Source: Rfam by way of RNAcentral